Peromyscus maniculatus bairdii (prairie deer mouse) is the source of this 745-nucleotide non-coding RNA. The record is from RefSeq and is a predicted model, not a curated record. NCBI's taxonomy places the organism in Eukaryota, Metazoa, Chordata, Mammalia, Rodentia, Cricetidae.
AUAGCUCUUUUGUUACAGUAAGCUAAAUUUUAAGCCCUAGUUUUAUUUUUUAAACUGGACAGUGUACCAGUUAUCUUGUUUCUGGUGUUUAAGUGCUACAAAGAGUUAUGGGCAACAGAGUCUGGGGUAGAAUCAUCAGUUCCAGGUAGACAAGUAAGUGUGAAAGUAAGACCACUGUGAAUGCAGCAUCUACUCUGAACCUGGCCAACUCUGAGACUAGAAGUCAUGUUCCUGCUAAGAUGAGGCUAGUAUUGUUGACAUGAUUUUUUUCCACAGUCACAGGAUGAGGAAACCAGAUCCUCAUGAGUGAGUCUUAAACAUGAGAUCACAAGAUAAAACAGGAGCUAAAUCAAGUAAAAGGGAAUGGAAAAGAAGUAAUAAGCACCAGCUGAAGCAGAUUUAAAAUUGCAUGUGUGUGUGUGCGCGCUGUGGGGCAACAAAAAAAAUUAAGAGAGAAAAGGAAGAGAUCUCCAAAAAUGGGCAUGGAAAGAGUAAUAGAAGAUCCCUGCCAUGGAAGAAUGGAGGACUUCUGAGGGAGACACAUCUGAUAAGGAAGAAGAAGGAGGGACAUCUGAGGGAAAGAAGAGAAGCAGCCAAACUGGAAGGCCAGAGUUUCCCUGGAAGUGACUUUACACUAAGGUUGUUGGUGUCAUUAACAGUGAGGCACUUUCGAACUUUGAGACAACAGAUUUUGAGGUACAGUUUUUUAAACCAAGCAAGCCUCUCUGCAUCUUUUCAUUGGUAA